RNAcentral lists this long non-coding RNA (3342 nucleotides) under Lactuca sativa (garden lettuce). RNAcentral's name for it is "long non-coding RNA (LSAT_LNC009938)". The record is from RNAcentral. Lineage: Eukaryota; Viridiplantae; Streptophyta; Magnoliopsida; Asterales; Asteraceae.
AGGAAAUGAUGAUGGAGAUGAUGAUGAUGAAGAUAAAGAUUAGAUUAUCCUUUUAUUUUAUUUUUUUAUUUGGUUGUGUUGAAACAAUUUUUAUUUUGUUUGGUUAUUUUGUUUGGUUGUUUUUGGCCAAAUAGUUUUUAGGAUUGAUUUUUAGUUUGUUUUCCGUUUUAUUACUGGUGUGUUGUUCUUUAUAGAAUUUGAAUGAGGGUUUGCUUUCAAGGGUCUAGACAGUGAUAAAAUAAUGGAAGAAUCAAGUCUAGGCGAGAGAGAAUGAAGUUUCGAGUCUGAAUAUCGAGUUCGGUUAUGAAGAGGGUUAAAGAGUUACUAAACACUCAAGAAAAAUAAGCAUGAAUGUCAUUUCGAAGUUACUCCAACAAACCAAAAUCGGAUGAAUAGCAGAAUUCAUUUUUUCCACACAGCGACGUACUGGCCGAGUGCGUAUAAUGACUCGACGAGUCAAAAUGCAAUUUCACGAUUUCUUUGAGUAUCGCACAUCGACUCAUAGAGUCUCCUUAUAGACUCGAUGAGUUAACCUUUAGUUCAUCUUUGAAUCUUAUGGUUUGAUAAUAUUUUACACAAAAAUUGGCUGUAUUUUUGGAAGAUCAUUUUCUGAAGAUAUCCGAGUGUUUUUCCUGCAUUAUUUAGAGCUGUCAACCACAGGUCAUUUACCGCCCAAGGCACGGACGAGCUAUUCCCAUUUGUAAAGUCAGCUAAAGAUAGAGUUUUCAAUGAAGAAGAUCAACCUCGCCACUACUAUCCCAGGGGAGUUUGUUCCAAUUCCUGUUUAUUUCUUGUUUUUGUCAUGCAUAACAUGCAAUGUGGAUAUUUCAUAAAUAAAUUGUAGAGUAGGGGGUUGGUUACAUUAGACAAAUUAGAAUCCUAGGGCUAAAUUACAACUAAAGUGGAGCUAAUAGUGGUUUGACCGAAAUACCCACACCUCAUUUUAGUGUCACACUUAGAUACUGGCACGAACCAUUAAAGAUUAUGGAGGCGGGAAUCUUUCCAUACCGAAUGAGGAUAUGGUUAUAGAACCCAAGGAGCCAGGUAAGAGCGUGAAGAGAAGACAAGAUGAAGCCCAUGAUGACCCACCAUUGAUUCUAGUCGAUGAUGAAGUACCAAUGGAUUGGUAUAAUGUGGAGAUGAGACAAUUUCAAUAUGAUUUGGCAAGGGGUGUGAAUUUUGGCAACCCAUAUUGUAUUGAAAUGUUUAAUCACUUCAACGUUCAACAUGUGGAUUGGGGUAAUUAUCUGCAUGUGUGCAUAUGGGAGGAAAAGAUCAAUACAAGAGGAAGUGGAGCAAGAGGAAAUGAUGAUGGAGAUGAUGAUGAUGAAGAUAAAGAUUAGAUUAUCCUUUUAUUUUAUUUUUUUUAUUUGGUUGUGUUGAAACAAUUUUUAUUUUGUUUGGUUGUUUUUGGACAAAUAGUUUUUAGGAUUGAUUUUUAGUUUGUUUUCCGUUUUAUUACUGGUGUGUUGUUCUUUAUAGAAUUUGAAUGAGGGUUUGCUUUCAAGGGUCUAGACAGUGAUAAAAUAAUGGAAGAAUCAAGUCUAGGCGAGAGAGAAUGAAGUUUCGAGUCCGAAUAUCGAGUUCGGUUAUGAAGAGGGUUAAAGAGUGACUAAACACUCAAGAAAAAUAAGCAUGAAUGUCAUUUCGAAGUUACUCCAGCAAACCAAAAUCGGAUGAAUAGCAGAAUUCAUUUUUUCCACACAGCGACGUACUCGCCGAGUGCGUAUAAUGACUCGACGAGUCAAAAUGCAAUUUCAAGAUUUCUUCGAGUAUCGCACAACGACUCAUAGAGUCUCCUUACAGACUCGAUGAGUUAACCUUUAUUUCAUCUCUGAAGCUUAUGGUUUGAUAAUAUUUUACACGAAAAUUGGCUGUAUUUUUGGAAGAUCAUUUUCUGAAGAUAUCCGAGAGUUUUUCCUGCAUUAUUUAGAGCUGUCAACCACAGGUCAUUUAACGCCCAAGGCACGGACGAGCUGUUCCCAUUUGUAAAGUCAGCUAAAGAUAGAGUUUUCAAUGAAGAAGAUCAACCUCGCCACUACUAUCCCAGGGGAGUUUGUUCCAAUUCCUGUUUAUUUCUUGUUUUUGUCAUGCAUAACAUGCAAUGUAGAUAUUUCAUAAAUAAAUUGUAGAGUAGGGGGUUGGUUACAUUAGACAAAUUAGAAUCCUAGGGCUAAAUUACAACUAAAGUGGAGCUAAUAGUGGUUUGACCGAAAUACCCACACCUCAUUUUAGUGUCACACUUAGAUACAGGCACGAAUCAUUGAAGAUUAUAGAGGCGGGAAUCUUUCCAUACUGAAUGUGGAUAUUGUUAUAGAACCCAAGGAGCCAGGUAAGAGCAUGAAGAGAAGACAAGAUGAAGCCCAUGAUUACCCACCAUUGAUUCCAGUCGACGUUGAAGUACCAAUGGAUUGGUACAAUGUGGAGAUGAGACAAUUUCAAUAUGAUUUGGCAAGGGGUGUGAAUUUUGGCAACCCAUAUUGUAUUGAAAUGUUUAAUCACUUCAACGUUCAACAUGUGGAUUGGGGUAAUUAUCUGCAUGUGUGCAUAUGGGAGGAAAAGAUCAAUACAAGAGGAAGUGGAGCAAGAGGAAAUGAUGAUGGAGAUGAUGAUGAUGAAGAUAAAGAUUAGAUUAUCCUUUUAUUUUAUUUUUUUUAUUUGGUUGUGUUGAAACAAUUUUUAUUUUGUUUGGUUGUUUUUGGACAAAUAGUUUUUAGGAUUGAUUUUUAGUUUGUUUUCCGUUUUAUUACUGGUGUGUUGUUCUUUAUAGAAUUUGAAUGAGGGUUUGCUUUCAAGGGUCUAGACAGUGAUAAAAUAAUGGAAGAAUCAAGUCUGGGCGAGAGAGAAUGAAGUUUCGAGUCCGAAUAUCGAGUUCGGUUAUGAAGUGGGUUAAAGAGUGACUAAACACUAAAGAAAAAUAAGCAUGAAUUUCAUUUCGAAGUUACUCCAGCAAACCAAAAUCGGAUGAAUAGCAGAAUUCAUUUUUUCCACACAGCGACGUACUCGCCGAGUGCGUAUAAUGACUCGACGAGUCAAAAUGCAAUUUCAAGAUUUCUUCGAGUAUCGCACAACGACUCAUAGAGUCUCCUUACAGACUCGAUGAGUUAACCUUUAUUUCAUCUCUGAAGCUUAUGGUUUGAUAAUAUUUUACACGAAAAUUGGCUGUAUUUUUGGAAGAUCAUUUUCUGAAGAUAUCCGAGAGUUUUUCCUGCAUUAUUUAGAGCUGUCAACCACAGGUCAUUUAACGCCCAAGGCACAGACGAGCUGUUCCCAUUUGUAAAGUCAGCUAAAGAUAGAUUUUCAAUGAAGAAGAUCAACCUCGCCACUACUAUCCCAGGGGAG